Cebus imitator (Panamanian white-faced capuchin) is the source of this 80-nucleotide microRNA precursor. Lineage: Eukaryota; Metazoa; Chordata; Mammalia; Primates; Cebidae. The record is from Ensembl.
UAGCUUGGUGCAAAAGUAAUUGUGGUUUUUGCCAUUGAAAGUAAUGGCAAUACCACAAUUGCUUUUGCAACAACCUAAUA